This 65-nucleotide transfer RNA is filed under the name Notocochlis gualtieriana. Its description in RNAcentral is "tRNA-Glu". Lineage: Eukaryota; Metazoa; Mollusca; Gastropoda; Littorinimorpha; Naticidae. The record is from RNAcentral.
GUUUCUAUGGUGUAAAAGCACAUUAGAUUUUCGUUCUAAAGGAAUAAAAUAUUUUAUUAGAAAUA